Molecule: ribosomal RNA, 254 nt
Filed under: uncultured bacterium
Lineage: Bacteria
Description: partial 16S ribosomal RNA
Rfam family: Bacterial small subunit ribosomal RNA
Source: RNAcentral
UACGGGGGGAGCAAGCGUUGUUCGGAUUUACUGGGCGUAAAGGGCGCGUAGGCGGUCAGCACAAGUCAGUUGUGAAAUCUCUGGGCUUAACUCAGAACGGUCAACUGAUACUGUCGGGCUAGAGUGCAGAAGGGGCAACUGGAAUUCUCGGUGUAGCGGUGAAAUGCGUAGAUAUCGAGAGGAACACCUGCGGCGAAGGCGGGUUGCUGGGCUGACACUGACGCUGAGGCGCGAAAGCUAGGGGAGCGAACGGG